GCUACACAUGCAGUCGAGCGGAACGAUGAUAGCUUGCUAUCAGGCGUCGAGCGGCGGACGGGUGAGUAACGCGUAGGAAUCUGCCUAGUAGUGGGGGACAACAUGUGGAAACGCAUGCUAAUACCGCAUACGCCCUACGGGGGAAAGGAGGGGAUCUUCGGACCUUUCGCUAUUAGAUGAGCCUGCGUAAGAUUAGCUAGUUGGUGGGGUAAAGGCCUACCAAGGCGACGAUCUUUAGCUGGUCUGAGAGGAUGACCAGUCACACUGGGACUGAGACACGGCCCAGACUCCUACGGGAGGCAGCAGUGGGGAAUAUUGGACAAUGGGCGCAAGCCUGAUCCAGCCAUGCCGCGUGUGUGAAGAAGGCCUUAGGGUUG
RNAcentral lists this ribosomal RNA (377 nucleotides) under bacterium fme08x96p561. RNAcentral's name for it is "bacterial SSU rRNA". It matches the Rfam family "Bacterial small subunit ribosomal RNA", at positions 48 to 425 of the family's 1533-position model. The record is from RNAcentral.